GAUGAACGCUGGCGAGAUGCCUUACACAUGCAAGUCGUACGGGGAUUUUUAAUUCAAGUGGCGGACGGGUGAGUAACACGUAAGAAUUUGCCUUUAGGAGGGGGACAACAACUGGAAACGGUUGCUAAUACCCCAUAUGCUUUCGAGUGAAAUGGAUUUUUCCGCCUAAAGAGAAGCUUGCGGCUGAUUAGCUUGUUGGUGAGGUAAUGGCUCACCAAGGCGACGAUCAGUAUCUGGUUUGAGAGGAUGAUCAGACACACUGGAACUGAGACACGGUCCAGACUCCUACGGGAGGCAGCAGUGGGGAAUUUUCCGCAAUGGGCGAAAGCCUGACGGAGCAAUCUCGCGUGGGGGAUGACGGCCUAUGGGUUGUAAACCUCUUUUUUCUAGGGAGGAACGAAAAUGACGUGUACCUGAAGAAUAAGCAUCGGCUAACUCCGUG
RNAcentral lists this ribosomal RNA (442 nucleotides) under uncultured bacterium. RNAcentral's name for it is "bacterial SSU rRNA". It matches the Rfam family "Bacterial small subunit ribosomal RNA", at positions 28 to 507 of the family's 1533-position model. The record is from RNAcentral.